Non-coding RNA from Punica granatum (pomegranate), 566 nucleotides. NCBI's taxonomy places the organism in Eukaryota, Viridiplantae, Streptophyta, Magnoliopsida, Myrtales, Lythraceae. The record is from RefSeq and is a predicted model, not a curated record.
GCCACUUCUCCGACUCUUUCCCGCAUCCCGGGGCUAGGUCACUAGUCUGAGCACUAUGGCUAACAAGAGGAAGGAUCAGGAUGUCAUUCUUGUGACUGAAGCAUCUACUAGUAAGAUUAGGAUGAAGAUGAUGAAAAACUAGAAGGGCUUUACCCCUUCGUCAUUAGCAAGAGUCUCCAAACAAAUGGGCAAGAAGAAAAAGGGUGCGGUGGAGAAGGGAACUUGUUUCUACUGUGGCAAGGAUGGACAUUGGAAGAGGAGCUACCCUCACUGCCUUGAGUCGCUGAAGGCGAUCAAGAGAAAGAAACCUUCAGAAGGAACUAGCAAGCAGUAGGGGUCAUCGAAAGGAAUGAAGUCAACUUGAGAAUCGACAAUAGAGCAAGUGUUGCGGCCAAGGCUGGAGGAUCGACUUUAUUGCAUCUAGAUGGACAUAUUUUAUUUCUAGAUUGUGUUUUAGUGUUACUAAACAUCUAUUGAAACAUUAUUUCUAUUUCCAUUUUGACUAGGAGUGGUUAUUUGUUUGAUUUUAAGGAUAAUGUUUGCAGUAUUUUAUUAUGAUAAUAAAA